ACUCCUACGGGAGGCAGCAGUGAGGAAUAUUGGACAAUGGAGGCAACUCUGAUCCAGCCAUGCCGCGUGUAGGAAGACUGCCCUAUGGGUUGUAAACUACUUUUAUAGAGGAAGAAAUCGCAAUACGUGUAUUGCUCUGACGGUACUCUACGAAUAAGGAUCGGCUAACUCCGUGCCAGCAGCCGCGGUAAUACGGAGGAUCCAAGCGUUAUCCGGAAUCAUUGGGUUUAAAGGGUCCGUAGGCGGGCGUAUAAGUCAGUGGUGAAAGUUUGCGGCUCAACCGUAAAAUUGCCAUUGAUACUGUAUGUCUUGAAUAAUUGUGAAGUGGUUUAGAAUAUGUAGUGUAGCGGUGAAAUGCAUAGAUAUUACAUAGAAUACCGAUUGCGAAGGCAGAUCACUAACAAUUUAUUGACGCUAAGGGACGAAAGCGUGGGUAGCGAACAGGAUUAGAUACCCCUGGUAGACUGUCA
RNAcentral lists this ribosomal RNA (470 nucleotides) under uncultured bacterium. Its description in RNAcentral is "bacterial SSU rRNA". It matches the Rfam family "Bacterial small subunit ribosomal RNA", at positions 335 to 802 of the family's 1533-position model. The record is from RNAcentral.